CGGGUGCAGAGCUGGGGUCAGAGCCCACUGUCCUGUCACCGGGUGCAGAGCUGGGGUCAGAGCCCACUGUCCUGUCACCGGGUGCAGAGCUGGGGUCAGAGCCCACUGUCCUGUCACCAGGUGCAGAGCUGGGGUCAGAGCCCACUGUCUCGUCAGCCUUUGUAUCACACCUAUUCAAGAUUUUCACAAACCAGUUGCUAACCCUGCCACUCAAUCCCCAGACAUCUCCUUUUUUCUUAAUUCAAACCUCGUUUUCCUUGUCCUGGUGUCCUGAAGGCUCCCCACAUCUCAAUACCACCCAAAGCUUCGUCACUGACUCUCAAACCACAGCUCCCCUGGGAAGCCCCUCCUACCAGUCAGCAGUCCCACUCACUCUUCCUCUUUGGUUCACACCUGAAAUUUUUUUCUAUGCAGAAUAUGGGAACCAAGAAGCAUCUGGAGACCAAGAACCAAGUUUGCUGCCCUAUCUCAGCAGACCUCUGUUUUCAAAGAGGAAGCCAGUGGCCUGAGAGCUGCUGUUGUCUGACGUUCCAGGAUCCACCGUUUCUCACAUCACACAAACAAGUACCCAGGAAGCAACUCUGUCAAUAGUGUGCCUUUGGAGUUUUCCAUAUUCACCCCCUCUGGCUCUGGCUUGUGAUGUAUAAUUCCCACUCAUCAAUCAGAUCCUCAGCAAAGUCUUUCUCCAAACUUCUUCUGACCAGGAAAGCCAGAUUCAGGCCUCCCAGACGUGUCCCACGGGAGAGUGUCUCCAUUCGCCAUUCCUCCCAGCUCUGUCAAUUCAGCAUAUAACAGUUCAGAA
Molecule: non-coding RNA, 802 nt
Organism: Rattus norvegicus (Norway rat)
Lineage: Eukaryota; Metazoa; Chordata; Mammalia; Rodentia; Muridae
Source: RefSeq, a predicted model, not a curated record